AAAACCCUGCCUUGUGCGAUCACUACAGUUAUGUUGGACCUACACUCGAAAUUAGGGAGUCGGACUCUGGCGUUGGAUUGCAGACCUCCCGGCGCGCCUUCGCGGCACGUUGGACGAAGGGAGCGUGAAAACCUCAGGAGACACCCACCUGCUGACGGCAGGGUACCAAUGACUGUUCCCGGCAAGGCGGGGGAUUU
RNAcentral lists this non-coding RNA (197 nucleotides) under Oscillospiraceae bacterium. RNAcentral's name for it is "6S RNA". It matches the Rfam family "6S / SsrS RNA". Rfam says of the family: E. coli 6S RNA was the first non coding RNA to be sequenced, but its function was unknown until recently. It consists of 184 nucleotides that fold into an extended hairpin structure with a large single-stranded internal bulge. The 6S RNA specifically associates with RNA polymerase holoenzyme containing the sigma70 specificity factor. The record is from RNAcentral. Lineage: Bacteria; Bacillati; Bacillota; Clostridia; Eubacteriales; Oscillospiraceae.